Molecule: ribosomal RNA, 253 nt
Filed under: uncultured bacterium
Lineage: Bacteria
Description: partial 16S ribosomal RNA
Rfam family: Bacterial small subunit ribosomal RNA
Source: RNAcentral
UACGUAGGGUGCGAGCGUUAAUCGGAAUUACUGGGCGUAAAGCGUGCGCAGGCGGUUCGCAAAGUCUGAUGUGAAAGCCCCGGGCUCAACCUGGGAACUGCAUUGGAAACUAACGGGCUCGAGUGUGGCAGAGGGGGGUGGAAUUCCACGUGUAGCAGUGAAAUGCGUAGAGAUGUGGAGGAACACCGAUGGCGAAGGCAGCCCCCUGGGCUAACACUGACGCUCAGGCACGAAAGCGUGGGGAGCAAACGGG